This 97-nucleotide small nuclear RNA is filed under the name Microtus ochrogaster (prairie vole). Lineage: Eukaryota; Metazoa; Chordata; Mammalia; Rodentia; Cricetidae. The record is from RNAcentral.
GUGCUUGCUUUGGCAGAACAUACGGAACAACACAGAGAAGAUUAGCAUGGCCCCUGUGCAAGGUUGACACGGCAUUCGUGAAGGGUUCCAUGUUUCU